GCGUGGCCGCGUGGGCUCCUUGUGGCCCUCAGGUUUCCCGAAUUCGUGUCCCAUCAGCGGCGCGGGCGGAGAAGACAGGGAGAGGAAGGGCGGAGAUGUCGAGGCUGCUCCAGUUAUUGUUGCUGCUGUACUCCGAUAAAAUCUGGCGAGCUUCGCGUUGUGCGCAUAUUCCAUUUUUGUCUUCGAUCUUCCCAGAUCCAGCUUUCCUUGGGAGAACUUGCCAUGGCUCUUCAAUUGUUCCGUGGUGAUCUCUUGAUCCCGUGUCCUCCUUACCAUUCUACAUCUUCGGUGCCCUGGGCGCAAGCUUUUUUGUUCUUUAAAGUUCGUUUACUGGAUCUGUAAUUCUGUUCGCAAUCAAACGCCACUCUUGAGCGCUUGUUUGAUUUUUUUUUUUUAUGGGUCGGUGAUGGUUAUAGAAGCAGCGGGCGAAGCUUCGCUAACUUUUACUCUGAUGCACUAAAUUAUGUGUCCAGUUGUAGAGAGACUAGUGUUGGUUGCGAUUGACUGACUUAACUGUCAUGGAAUGGAGAGAGUCAGAGAAAUCCAGAACGAUCCAAGCUAAAAUUUUAUGCAUCCUGUGGCGAAAGGAUUAAAAAAGAUGAAGCUUUUGAUUUCUUUGCUUCAAUUUCCGACCCCAUUAUACAGUUGGAGCAUUCUCAGUGGCAUAAUGGAGAAAAGUAUGCACCAUGUGGGGAGAAAAUGAGCUUGCUUUUGACUAGGCUUUCAAUAAUCUGGUUUAUGUUGCUUUCCUUAAUCAGUAGUUUUUCAUCCAGACUAUUUAGGAUCGUCACUUGCUGUGAAAGCUACAAUAGAAGUUUCUGGAGUAAAAUCUCCUAACCCUUAUUUGCUUUGUUAAGGAUGAAUACCUGUUUGGAAUUUGGAUUAUGGAAUUCCAUAGCAUCUAAUGAGAAAGGAUCAUCUGGUGCUCGUAUGUCGAUUCCAAAAGCGGAUCUUUCUCAUGAGAAGCCUACUUCCCCCCUUACUUCAAAUGUUAUUUCAAAAUCUUUAUUUUGGAAAGUUCCAGUUGAUCGACAGAGAUUCAUCUCCAGUAUAGGGUUUCAAAAACAACCAUUACAUGUGAUGGCUUCACAGAAUACAUCAGUGGCUACUAGUGCUGACACAUCUGAUAAGAAUUCAAGUGGGCCACUGCAGAAAAAUGUUCAGCAGUCAACAUUUCCCAUUGCAUUCCAGGCACUUGUUGAGGAUGUUUGUGAGCAGACUCAAAUUGCAGAACUGAAACUCAAGAUUGGUGAUUUUGAAAUGUUCCUGAAAAGAGAUAUAGGGAUUUCAUCUGCUCCAAGUCCAGUUUAUGCUCCUGUUGAAUCUUCAAUUACAGCACCGCCAAUCCUGAGUGAGCCAAUGGAGGAAACAGCUACUUCUCCCACUCCUUUCCUGGAACAGGUCUCUACUGAAGAAACUUCUAGCCCAUUUGUCAACAUUUCUGCAGCAAAGACAUUAAAGCUGGCAUCUUUGGAAGCUUCUGGUCACGAUGCAUUUGUUAUUGUAGCAUCGCCAUUGGUAGGUACAUUUCAGAGAGGAAGAACAAUAAAAGGCAAAAGAUUGCCUCCUAGCUGCAAAGAGGGGGCCGUUAUCAAAGAGGGGCAAAUCAUUGGCUUCUUGGGCCAAUGUGGAAAUGAACUUCCUAUCAGAGUGUGUUUUCUUAGUCAAAUUCUUUCUUAUCUUUUUCAUCUUGAACUUCAUUGUUUAGUGCGUAAACAAAUUCCUGUUAGAUUGAGUUUUCUUUUCUCAGUUAUUCUGAUACUUUUGUCUUUUACCAAAUUUCCAUGCUAAAAAAAUUACUUGUUUCCAUAUAUACUGCUAAGAUUCUUAUUAGAAUUGCUUUACAAUGUAUCUCAGCUACCAUUAUUUUCCCUUGCAGUCGGAUGUAGAUGGAGAAGUAUUAAAGAUUCUCUACGAAGAUGGAGAAGCUGUUGGGUAUGGCGAUCCACUUGUUGCUGUUCUGCCUUCAUUCCACGCUAUAAACUGAGUUUAUCGUUACUUCUCGCCGCGGUUCUGAUCUCCAGUGAUUCAAAUAUACGCGAUGAAUGCUGAUGAGGUUCAUCUGUUGAAUUUUACCUUUGAAUUUAAAUUGAUUGAGGAACUGAACAUUUCAAAUUUGCUUUAUUUUUGGUGUAAAAGUAAAUGUGUGAGGAGUGGUUAAGGAAAAACUGUGCUUUGUUUUAAACAUAGGGACCACUAAAUCAUUGAGUAAAUGAUUUUCCUUGGAA
Zingiber officinale is the source of this 2228-nucleotide RNA transcript. It is a transcript of the gene named biotin carboxyl carrier protein of acetyl-CoA carboxylase-like, with no coding region annotated. The record is from RefSeq and is a predicted model, not a curated record. Lineage: Eukaryota; Viridiplantae; Streptophyta; Magnoliopsida; Zingiberales; Zingiberaceae. The transcript is spliced from 8 exons.